UUGAUUGUCACAAAGGAAAAAAUAUUGCUGAUCACUUCUCCAUUUUUGAACAUGGUAAGUGAGUGAAAGUAUGUUUUUUUGUAACUUGACUGUACUCCCUUUUAAUAUACUAAUUAGAAUUAUUUGUAUGUUAGGUUCGACCUCUGGUGCACCCUGUGACCGACAUCAUGUAGAGACAUCUACUGUCAUAAACAAAGGUUUGUCUCAAUUUAAUUUAGGUUUAUCUCAAUUUAAUCUUAUAACACCACCUGCUGCCUCUCUCUUCUCAACACUAAUAGGAUAUAUUGUUGCAACUAAUAUACACAGGUUCUAAAUCAAAAAUAAUAAGUUGGAACUGGAACAUUAGAGAACUACCCACUGAUGCAACCAUUUUAAAAACUGUACCAGAUUGUAAAUAUUGUGGAGCAAAAAGAUUUGAAUAUGAGCUACCGGCAUUUUGUUGUAGCAAUGGUUCAAUUAAGUUGACGUCACAUGAAAUGCCUAAUGAACUCUUGAAUUUAUAUUUAGGCAAUACCGAAGAAUCUGAACACUUCCGUACCUACCUUAGAUUAUACAACAAUAUGUUUGCAUUUACUUUCCUUGGGGUGCACUAUGACAAAGUACUAGCAAAAAGAAACCAAGGAAUUUAUACAUUUAGAGUACAAGGUCAAAUGUAUCACUUUAUAAAUGAUUUAAUUCCAACAAAUCGGCGACCAAGAAAUUUACAGUUGUAUUUUUACGAUGAGAAUGCAGAAAUAUUAAAACGAAUGGCUUCGUCGGAUAUACUUCGACAAUCAAUUGUUCAGAAGCUAAUGAACAUACUAAAGAUAAAUCCUUAUUGUAUCUUCUUGAAAUCUCUAAUACAUAUUCCAGAAUUAUCAAACUUUUAUAUUGCAUUGAGAUGUGGCUCUGGCUUAGAUCAACGAGUAUAUAAUCUGCCAACUGUGUCAGAAGUAGCAGCAUUAUGGCUAGAACAAGAAAUGAGCAAUAAUAGUUUUACACCCCAUAUUUGAAUUUAUACUCACAGUAACAAAAGCCAAUUAGUAAAUUACUAUUAUUGUUGCUAUGAUCCUUUGCAAUAUCCACUUUUAUUUCCUUAUGGUCAAAACGGCUGGCAUUGCGGUAUUCCAAAAAUCGUACAACCUAGAAUUAAAUUGAGAAAGCGAGCUUACUAUGAGACUGAGCAGCUUCCGAGUGUCUCUAACAUGUGUUCAAUUGAUGGACUACUUGAUAUGGAAGCGGAUGUCCUGCAAAAGGGGAAACAAAAAAGAAAUAAUGUUUCUUGUCGUGAAUACUACUAUUACAAACUCCAUAUGAGAGACAAUGAGGAAAACGGAGUUUUACAUUCUGGUAGAUUAUUUCAACAAUAUUCAGUUGAUGAAUUCAUAAAAGUAGAAAGUCAAAGAUUAGAUUUUGCCUCAUUUAACCAAGAUUUAUUUCGAAUUGAUGUACUACAAGGACUUUUAGAUAUCUUGAGACUUGGCGAAAGAGAAGCUUCUAAGAUAGGAAAACAAAACUUUCUUCCAACAAGUUUUACGGGUGGUCCGAGAGAUAUGCGUCAACGUUAUAUGGAUGCUAUUGCGUUAGUACAGCAUUUUGGAAAGCCUGAUAUAUUUCUGACCAUAACAUGUAAUCCCUCUUGGCUUGAAAUAAAGGAACAUUUGCUCCCAACAGACGAAACUCAAAAUAGGCCUAAUUUAAUUAGUCGAGUAUUCAGAGCAAAGGUAGAAGAGAUGAAAACAGAUAUAUUAAAAAGAAGCAUAUUUGGAAAAGUUGUCGCCUUUAUGUACAGUUUAGAAUUUCAAAAACCCGGUCUUCCACAUGCCCAUUUUCUUGUUAUACUUACUGAUGAAUACAAAUUAUUAACGCCCGAGGCUUAUGACAAAUUUGUUUGUGCUAAGUUGCCUGACCCUGAUAUAUACUCAUACUUACAUAAGCUUGUCGUUAAACACAUGAUGCAUGGGCCUUGUGGUCAUUUAAAUCCCACAAAUUUAUGUAUGAAAAGAAAUGAGUGCAAAUUUAAGUACCCCAAGAGUUUCGUUGAUGAGACGACGAAAGAAAAGAACUCAUACCCAAUUUAUAGAAGACGAAAUACUGGUAAAUCUGUGAAAGUUAGAAAACAAUUUCUUGAUAACUCAUGGGUUGUUCCUUACAACCCCUAUCUGCUAUGUAAAUACAAUUGCCAUAUAAAUGUAGAAGUUUGCUCCGAUAUUAAAGUUGUGAAAUAUAUAUACAAAUAUAUCUUUAAAGGACAUGAUAAGAUAUCAUUUGGCUUACAUGAAGAUAACACAAAUAUACAAAUAGAUGAGAUAAAAGAGUAUCAAUCUGCUAGAUGGGUGUCACCUCCAGAAGCUAUGUGGCGCUUAUUUGCAUUUCCUAUUAGUGAAAUGACUCCGAGUGUUUACCACCUCCCAUUACAUCUUGAUGGACUACAAUUUGUCUCUUUUAAAAAAAGACACAAUAGAUAGUAUCGUGAAAAAUCCUAUGAUCAAGAAGACGAUGCUGACAGAAUUCUUUUUGAUGAAUGAAACAAAUAAAGAUGCUAAAGAGCUUAAAUUAAUGUAUAAAGAUUUUUCACAACACUUCGUAUGGUUAUCUAGCUAUAAAAUGUGGACUCGACGACAACAAGGUCACGUUAUUGGCCGGGUUGUAACAUGUCAUCCAACAGAGGGAGAAAGAUAUUACCUUAGAUUAUUACUAAUGAAUGUGAGAGCACCAAAAUCAUACAAAGAUCUUCUAACGGUAAAUGAAAUAUGCUGCGACACAUAUAGAGAAUCUGCAGAAAAAAAAAGGGUUGUUACAUUGUGAUAACAGCUUGAUUGAAUGUAUGUUAGAGGCUGCAUGUUAUCAAAUGCCUUAUAGUUUAAUACGUUUAUUUGCUACAAUAUUAGUAUACUGUAGCCCUAACAAUCCAGGAGAACUACGGGAACAGUUUGAAGAUUCAAUGUCCGAAGAUUUUAAAAUUCUAGCCAAUAUAACAGCAAAAGAUAUCCACCUCGCUGUUCUGAAUCACAUCAAUGAUAUACUACAUUCUAUGGGUCGUGAUAUUAAUGAAUUCAAUCUUGUUUCAGAAAAUAUUACAUCUUCGAAAAUGGCAAAUGAAGCGAAGGAAGCAUAUUUCGAAAGAAACAUCAUUGUGGGUAACGAAGAUUUGUUGUUACAUAGAAAAUUAAAUAUAGAACAGAAAAUAGCAUACGACAUAAUCUUGCAAAGAGUAUUUGUCAAUGAAUCAGGAGCAUUUUUCAUUGAUGGUCCUGGAGGAAGUGGUAAGACGUUUUUAUACUGUGCCUUAUUAGCAACUGUGAGAUCUAAAGGAUUUGUAGCAUUAGCAACAACAACUUCUGGAGUUGCAGCUUCGAUCCUUCCAGGAGGACGAACAGUUCAUUCACGUUUUAAAUUUUCGAUUAAUAUCGAUGAAAAAUUUUCUUGCAAUAUUAGAAAGAAAAGCUCAUUGGCAUCUUUGAUUCAUGAUGCAAAAUUGAUUGUGUGGGAUGAAGUAUCAAUGGCAAAAAAGAACAUGAUUGAAGCUUUAGAUUCUCUCUUGAAAGAUAUAAUGAACACAAAUGUGCUUUUCAGCGGAAAAGUUGUUGUGUUUGGAGGGGAUUUUAGACAAACUCUUCCUGUGGUUCGAAGUGGAAAAAAGGAAGAUUUCAUUCGAGAAAGCAUAUUGAACUUCGAAAUAUGGAACAAACUUGAAAAAUUGCAGUUAUCAGAGAAUAUGCGUGCCAAAAUUGAUCCCUCUUUUUGUGAAUAUUUGAUGCGAAUUGGAAAUGGAAAAGAAAAAACAAACAUGGAUAAUAAAAUAGAAAUUCCAAAGUCUUUCAUUGUUCCUUAUAUUACUGAAAAAGAAUCUUUGGAUCUUUUAUUCAACAUAAUAUAUCCUAAUUUGCACAUGUCUCUUCACAAUUCUUCUUUUUUAACUUCGCGCGUUAUUUUGAUAACAAAAAAUGACUUUGUUGAUGAAAUAAAUGAUAGACUUAUAGCUCAAUUCCCUAAAGAAGCUAAAACAUUUAUUGCAAUAGAUGAAACUGUUGAACCAAAUGAUCAGAGCCAGUUUGAGGGUUUUUUACAUUCAUUGAACCCUGCUGGUUUGCCUCCUUACAAAUUAAUCUUGAAGGAAAAUUGUCCUGUUAUGUUGCUGCGAAAUUUAAAUCCUUGUGAGGGUUUAUGCAAUGGUACACGACUGAUAUGCUGUGAUUUUAAGAGCCGUGUUAUAAGUGCUAAAAUUUCGAGUGGUGAUUUUAAAGAUACGCAUGUAUUUAUUCCCAGAAUAUCAUUGUUAUCUUCAGAUGAUGAGAAGCUACCAAUCCCAUUUAAAAGAACUCAAUUUCCAGUACGCUUGUGUUUUGCAAUGACGAUAAAUAAAGCGCAAGGGCAAACACUAAAUUAUGUUGGUAUUUAUUUGCGUGAGCCAGUAUUUUCUCAUGGCCAGCUAUAUGUUGCUUUAUCCAGAGCAAAGAGUUCAAGUUGUAUUAAAAUAUUAAUCCGACCACCAACCGUAGAUAACGAUGAUGACCAUUCUACAUAUAACAUAGUGUAUGACGAAAUCAUUCAAAAAGCACUUCUAUAAGUCUGUAGCUUUCUUCUUUAUAUUCCUGGUUUAACCUUAUAUUCUUUAUUUCAAUAAUUUUCUUGAGACUUGAGAUAGUUUCUCUGCAAUUUACUAUGUGCUAAAUAAGAGUUGGCUUGUGUAUCUACAAAUCCUUCCUAAACUUUUACUCAUCUUUACAAAUCUAUAAAUACAAAAGCAACUUGCAUAUUUAUGUGAUUUUUUUCCAACUCUGUGAAGCUUACCUGACUGACAUUUACAUCCAAAAAAAUAUAUAUAUAUUUUUAACUCCGCUUGUGUUCAAAUUAUAUUGUAACACAGCCUGUCCCAAGCCCGGAUAAAGGAGGACGGUCUAUUGUAUAUUGGUAAUAACAAUUGUAUCUUAUUUCUUCAUUUGAAUGUACUUACUGAUUUCCUCUUAUAAAUUUUUAUACAUCACUAUCAAUAUGUUGGCGGAAAAAAAUCCAUUGUUCGUUUAAGAAACAAAAUGAGAAAUAAAUUAAAAAUUUAUUCAUCUUCUAUUUUGAUGUCUUUAUAUUCCUUUACUGCUUACUAACACGUAUAAUCUGUAUUGCAGGUAUUUUAAAAAGAUCUUCUAAAGUAAAAUGUUUUCACAAGUUGGUACUAAAAGGUACUGUCACACUAACCAAAUUUUGAUAUAGUAAUUUCAUUUUCUACCUUAGAGAUUGUUUCAUUAUUUGAUUUUAUAUGGAUAUCUUUGCAUAUUUCAAUGAUGUGAUUAGUUUUACUACUGGAAGUUAUCCAAUUAAUCUUUUUUAAUGUCUUUAUUAUAUUCAUUCAACUAUUAUGAAUACAUACAAAUAAUUGACAUCAUAUAUAUUUCACAGAAACUAAAUGACCCAGUGUUAUUUGUUGCGUCAUAAUACACGAGUUAAUGCACAACUGUCGAAUUGGUCUGGCAGCAAAGGAUAAGCUUUUGAAAAUAUUUACAUAGCUGCUGCAGGGG
This 5495-nucleotide long non-coding RNA is filed under the name Nicotiana tabacum (common tobacco). Its description in RNAcentral is "long non-coding RNA (NTAB_LNC015898)". Lineage: Eukaryota; Viridiplantae; Streptophyta; Magnoliopsida; Solanales; Solanaceae. The record is from RNAcentral.